This 825-nucleotide ribosomal RNA is filed under the name Leucodecton subcompunctum. Its description in RNAcentral is "SSU rRNA". It matches the Rfam family "Bacterial small subunit ribosomal RNA", at positions 344 to 1245 of the family's 1533-position model. The record is from RNAcentral. Lineage: Eukaryota; Fungi; Ascomycota; Lecanoromycetes; Ostropales; Graphidaceae.
GGAGGAAUGUAUAGGGAAAGCUGGUAAGAAGGUGAUUACCUAGUUGUAUUAAGGCUACUAGUAAUACGAUAUUAACAGAGUUAAAUAAAGUUCUAAGUAGAUAUUGAUUAUGACAGUAUUUGCUGAUGUCUUGACCAAGUCACGUGCCAGCAGUCGCGGUAAUACGUGGAAGAUUAGUGUUAUUCAUAUUUAAAAGGUUUAAAGGGUACCUAGACGGUUAAUUAAACAAUAACAUAUGUGUAUUAAUAAACUAGAGUUUAAUGUAAGAAAGAUAGAGUACGGUGAGUGUAAAGAUAGAAUUUUAUGAUACCAUUAAGGAACUGGUAAGGCGAAGGCAACUUUCUAUGUAAAAACUGACGUUAAGGGACGAAGGCACGAUAAAAAAAAUAGGAUUAGAGACCCUAGUAUUGCGAGCAGUAAAUGAUGAGUGUCAUAUAUAAGAAAAUUUUAUUAAAUUUUUUGUGUAUAAAUGAAAGUGUAAGCACUCCACCUCAAGAGUAACGUGGCAACACGGGAACUGAAAUCAUUAGACCGUUUCUGAAACUCGUAGUGAAGUAUGUUGUUUAAUUUGAUAAUCCACAAAUAACCUUACCACACUUUGAAUUACAUCCAGUUUAAUAUGCUGAUUGAUGUAACAAGCGUUGCACGGCUGUCUCCAGUUAAUGUUGUGAAACUGUGGUUAGAUCCAUUAAAUUGACGUAAACCCUCUCUUUACUUGUUGUAGAGUGGUUCGCCGCUACAUUGGUAGUGAUAUAAGGGACUAAGACAAGUCAUCAUGACCUGAACAGUGUGGGCUAUAGACGUGCCACAUUACCUUAACAAAAA